Non-coding RNA from Mugil cephalus (flathead mullet), 428 nucleotides. NCBI's taxonomy places the organism in Eukaryota, Metazoa, Chordata, Actinopteri, Mugiliformes, Mugilidae. The record is from the annotation of a RefSeq genome assembly.
AUGACUUUGAUCUGCGUCCUCAUCUGGACUCUCCUCUGCUGCUGCUUCACAGAGUCCAGAGGCCAGGUCACAGUGACUCAGCCUGGAUCAGUGAGGUCUGGUCUGAGAGGAACCGUCACCAUCAACUGUAGAACCAGUCAGGAUGUUAAUUUUUGGAACAGUCAGUACCACGAUUUAGCCUGGUACCAACAGAGAGAUGGAGGAGUUCCUAAACUUCUCAUUUAUGAUGCUUAUCGUAGAGAAUCAGGGAUUCCAGGUCGUUUUUCAGGCAGUGGAUCAAACUCUGACUUCACUCUGACCAUCAGUGGAGUCCAGACUGAAGAUGCAGCAGUUUAUUACUGUCAGAGUCGUCACUACAUCAACAGUCAGCGUGUGUUCACACAGUGAAAAAGCGUCGUACAAAAACCUCCCUCAGUCAGACUGAACAG